UACAGAGACUGCAAGCGUUAUUCGGAUUCACUGGGCGUAAAGGGUGCGCAGGCGGCCGGGUGUGUCAGAUGUGAAAUCUCGGAGCUUAACUCCGAAACUGCAUUCGAUACUGCCGUGCUUGAGGACUGGAGAGGAGACUGGAAUUUACGGUGUAGCGGUGAAAUGCGUAGAUAUCGUAAGGAAGACCAGUGGCGAAGGCGGGUCUCUGGACAGUUCCUGACGCUGAGGCACGAAGGCCAGGGGAGCAAACGGG
RNAcentral lists this ribosomal RNA (253 nucleotides) under uncultured bacterium. Its description in RNAcentral is "partial 16S ribosomal RNA". It matches the Rfam family "Bacterial small subunit ribosomal RNA", at positions 524 to 776 of the family's 1533-position model. The record is from RNAcentral.